RNAcentral lists this ribosomal RNA (205 nucleotides) under Vibrio cholerae. RNAcentral describes it as "partial 16S ribosomal RNA". It matches the Rfam family "Bacterial small subunit ribosomal RNA", at positions 1 to 213 of the family's 1533-position model. Lineage: Bacteria; Pseudomonadati; Pseudomonadota; Gammaproteobacteria; Vibrionales; Vibrionaceae. The record is from RNAcentral.
UAAUUGAAGAGUUUGAUCAUGGCUCAGAUUGAACGCUGGCGGCAGGCCUAACACAUGCAAGUCGAGCGGCAGCACAGAGGAACUUGUUCCUUGGGUGGCGAGCGGCGGACGGGUGAGUAAUGCCUGGGAAAUUGCCCGGUAGAGGGGGAUAACCAUUGGAAACGAUGGCUAAUACCGCAUAACCUCGCAAGAGCAAAGCAGGGGA